GACGAACGCUGGCGGCGUGCUUAACACAUGCAAGUCGAACGGAAAGGCCUGCUUUCCCUUGUGGAUUGCGGGUACUCGAGUGGCGAACGGGUGAGUAACACGUGAGUGAUCUGCCCCCAACUUGGGUAUAAGCCUGGGAAACUGGGUCUAAUUCCCGAUAGGACUGCAGGGUGGUGCCUGUGGUGGAAAACGAUUUUCUAGUGGUUGGGGAUGAGCUCGCGGCCUAUCAGCUUGUUGGUGGGGUAAUGGCCUACCAAGGCGGCGACGGGUAGCCGGCCUGAGAGGGUGGACGGCCACAUUGGGACUGAGAUACGGCCCAGACUCCUACGGGAGGCAGCAGUGGGGAAUAGUGCACAAUGGGCGGAAGCCUGAUGCAGCGACGCCGCGUGGGGGAUGACGGGCUUCGGGUUGUAAACUCCUUUCGACCGCGAGGAAGCCACCUGGUUGGAAGGGUGGUGACGGUAGUGGUAGAAGAAGCACCGGCUAACUACGUG
Molecule: ribosomal RNA, 494 nt
Filed under: uncultured bacterium
Lineage: Bacteria
Description: partial 16S ribosomal RNA
Rfam family: Bacterial small subunit ribosomal RNA
Source: RNAcentral